UACGUAGGGUGCAAGCGUUAUCCGGAAUUAUUGGGCGUAAAGAGCUCGUAGGCGGUUUGUCGCGUCUGCUGUGAAAACUGGAGGCUCAACCUCCAGCCUGCAGUGGGUACGGGCAAACUAGAGUGCGGUAGGGGAGAUUGGAAUUCCUGGUGUAGCGGUGGAAUGCGCAGAUAUCAGGAGGAACACCGAUGGCGAAGGCAGAUCUCUGGGCCGUAACUGACGCUGAGGAGCGAAAGCAUGGGGAGCGAACGGG
RNAcentral lists this ribosomal RNA (253 nucleotides) under uncultured bacterium. Its description in RNAcentral is "partial 16S ribosomal RNA". It matches the Rfam family "Bacterial small subunit ribosomal RNA", at positions 524 to 776 of the family's 1533-position model. The record is from RNAcentral.